Molecule: long non-coding RNA, 304 nt
Organism: Mastomys coucha (southern multimammate mouse)
Lineage: Eukaryota; Metazoa; Chordata; Mammalia; Rodentia; Muridae
Exons: 2
Source: RefSeq, a predicted model, not a curated record
UCAUUCUGGCUGCUGUACAAAACAACAUAGACUACGUGGCUUUAUUGAUUCCCACACAUUUAUUUUUUUCACAGGCUUGGUGACUGGUCUAAGAUCAAGCAAGGCACCAGAGAACUCAGGGUCUGAUCGAUGGAAGACCAAACUGGGGCAAGAAACUCGAAGGGCUACCUGUCGAGCAAAGCUUCACGUCCCUAAAAGCAUCCAGGACAGUGAUGGCCACAGCCCUGCCACCAUUCCACGGACAUCUUCGGGCUCUCUUGGUGCUUCAGCUGAGUUUGGGACACAUGAAGUAAAAUAAUGAAAA